CCUACGGGAGGCAGCAGUGAGGAAUAUUGGUCAAUGGGCGCGAGCCUGAACCAGCCAUGCCGCGUGCAGGAAGACGGCCCUAUGGGUUGUAAACUUCUUUUGUACGGGAGUAAACGCAGAUACGCGUAUCUGUCUGAAAGUAUCGUACGAAUAAGGAUCGGCUAACUCCGUGCCAGCAGCCGCGGUAAUACGGAGGAUUCAAGCGUUAUCCGGAUUUAUUGGGUUUAAAGGGUGCGUAGGCGGUCUGAUAAGUUAGAGGUGAAAUUCCGAGGCUCAACUUCGGAAUUGCCUUUGAUACUGUUCGGCUAGAGAGUAGUUGCGGUAGGCGGAAUGUAUGGUGUAGCGGUGAAAUGCUUAGAGAUCACACAGAACACCGAUUGCGAAGGCAGCUUACCAAGCUACUUCUGACGUUGAGGCACGAAAGCGUGGGGAGCAAACAGGAUUAGAUACCCUAGUAGUC
Molecule: ribosomal RNA, 460 nt
Filed under: uncultured bacterium
Lineage: Bacteria
Description: partial 16S ribosomal RNA
Rfam family: Bacterial small subunit ribosomal RNA
Source: RNAcentral